Oreochromis aureus is the source of this 710-nucleotide long non-coding RNA. NCBI's taxonomy places the organism in Eukaryota, Metazoa, Chordata, Actinopteri, Cichliformes, Cichlidae. The record is from Ensembl.
UUUAAGUGUGAAAAUGCAAACCACCGUUGCAUCUGUAGCUAGACUUGAGACUUUAACCUUUUAUCUUUGUGCGUUUGGGUCCUCAUUCUGUGUCACCUGAUGUUACAAAAUCACUGCAUUCAUCUGCUUCAUAUUUUCUCUCCUCAGUUUCCCAGCAUGCCACAGCAGUGGAGGUGUACGAGGGGGCUGAGUCUGCGCUGCUGCCCUGUCAGCUACUAGCUGCUCCCAGUGAGUUCACAGCAGCAGUGUGGGAUCGCAACGACCUCAACAAUCCCAACAGUCCAUGUUCGUGUGAAGAGUGGUGAUGAUUUGGAUGACCAAAACCAGCGUUACACCAACCGAACAUCAAUGAGUGCUGAUGCUCUGCAAACUGGAAACCUCAGCCUCACUCUGAGAAACCCGACAGUCUCUGACAGUGGAACCUACACCUGCAUCCUCCGCAUCACUGGACGAGAUGUGAGCUGGACUUACUUACAACUGAAGGUCACAGAACCUCCUCCUCCACCUCCUCCAGUCUGGCCCAAAGUUCUCUCAGCUGUCUUGGUUCCUGUGGUUGUCCUGGCUAUUUGCUGUGGUAUCGGCAUGUUUUGUGGAUAUAAAAGGCUGCAAAAUAAAGAGGUUCUAGAGGUGGAGGUGGACACAGGCGUGACGUCUGCCAAGCUGCCCUGCAAAGCCACAGUUCAGCUGUCUCAAAUAAAUAAGGUUGUGUG